Dicentrarchus labrax (European seabass) is the source of this 597-nucleotide long non-coding RNA. RefSeq lists it as uncharacterized. The transcript is spliced from 3 exons. NCBI's taxonomy places the organism in Eukaryota, Metazoa, Chordata, Actinopteri, Moronidae. The record is from RefSeq and is a predicted model, not a curated record.
AAGAAGAGAGACGGGAGAAUCGAAGAGAAGGAGAGAAGAGAAAAUAGAGAGAACUGUGGAGCUGAAGUAAAGUUAAGAAGUAAUGACAUUUUGGUAGAUAGUUUGCUGAAUGUUUCAGUAACAGAAGAAGCUGUAGCUGAGGACAGUAAUUUGGACACAGUGGAUUAGGACGCUUGAGUUUUGCCAGAGUGACUGUGCUAACUGAGCUAAAGCAAGCGAGCUGCUAGCCAAGAGGACGCCAUUGCUGAACGGGAAGGACUGUUUCGCGCUUCCUGAGGAGGACUUUGCUUCUGCUGCCGUUGGCUUUCUUCUCCAUCUCUUCAUGAACUGUUUCUCCAGGACUUAUUCCAGACCAUGCAGAGUUGGUGAUUGUUGGAACAGCGGAAGGAGUAAAAAAGGCUAUUUUGAGCUGAAGGCCGACGGUGGUGGUGGUGAUCCCUUGUGUGUGCGUGACCCUCGUUCAAGAUUGUCUUUGUGUGCACGUCAUGUUUUUGCUGUGUGAGUGGGGACGUCACUUUCCCCUGUCGGCCCCUCUUCCAGCCGGUGAGCCUCAGCCUGUACCACCUUCCUUCCCCACUUGGGCUCCCUUGUGCCAAA